AUGGUGUCCGUCAUGGUCGUCGGCCACCUCGGCGAGCUGCCCCUCGCCGGCGCCUCCCUCGCCACCUCCCUCGCCAACGUCACCGGCUACAGCCUCCUGACCGGCAUGGCGACGGCGAUGGAUACGCUCUGCGGCCAGGCCUACGGCGCGCGGCUGUACCACCGGCUCGGCGUCUACAAGCAGCGCGCCAUGGUGGUGCUCUCGCUCGCCUGCGUCCCCAUCAUCCUCAUCUGGGCCAACACCGCCAGGAUCCUCGUCUUCCUCGGCCAGGACCCGGCCAUAUCGGCCGUGGCCGGCGAGUACGCGCGGUGGAUGAUCCCGUCGCUCGUCGUCUACGUGCCUCUGCAGUGCCACAUACGGUUCCUGCAGUCGCAGAGCAUCGUCCUGCCCGUGACGGCCAGCUCCGGCACCACGGCGCUCUGCCACCCGCUCGUGUGCUGGCUGCUGGUGUACAAGGCCGGCCUGGGGAGCAAGGGCGCCGCGCUCAGCAACGCCGUCUCCUACGGCAUCAAUCUGGUCAUACUGGCUCUGUACGUCAGGCUGUCCAGCACCUGCAAGAACACCUGGAGCGGCUUCUCCCGGGAGGCGUUCAGGGAGCUGCGCCAGUUCACCGCGCUCGCCAUGCCGUCCGCCAUGAUGAUCUGCUUGGAGUGGUGGUCAUUUGAAAUCCUUGUGCUUCUCUCUGGGCUUCUGCCCAAUCCUCAGCUUGAGACAUCAGUGCUGUCAAUAUGCCUUAACACAGGGGCACUGCUGUACAUGGUACCACUUGGCCUUUCCUCUUCUAUCAGCACGCGCGUCUCAAACGAACUUGGCGCCGGCCACCCAGAAGCAGCAAAGCUAGCGACGCGAGUGGUCAUGUACAUGGCCUUAUCUGUAGGAUUGGUGUUAGCCCUGACCAUGGUCUUGCUACGGAAUGUUUGGGGGUACCUGUACAGCAAUGAGCAGGAAAUCGUCACAUACAUUUCAAGGAUGCUGCCCAUUCUCGGAAUAUCUUACUUGAUAGAUGGACUCCACAGUUCUCUUUCAGGAGUGCUUACGGGCAGUGGCAAGCAGAACAUCGGCGCAGCCGUGAAUCUCGGUGCGUUCUACCUGCUAGGCAUUCCCUUGGCUGCGAUGCUUGCAUUUGUCUUCCACCUAAACGGAAUGGGUCUCUGGCUUGGCAUCGUUUCCGGCAGCUUCACCAAACUGGCACUAAAGGCACAGGACAGGGUCUUGGGUUCAGCUCGCCUACUUCCAGUAUCGUAG
RNAcentral lists this ribosomal RNA (1245 nucleotides) under Triticum aestivum (bread wheat). RNAcentral's name for it is "partial small subunit ribosomal RNA". The record is from RNAcentral. Lineage: Eukaryota; Viridiplantae; Streptophyta; Magnoliopsida; Poales; Poaceae.